This is a long non-coding RNA of Etheostoma spectabile (orangethroat darter), 967 nucleotides long. RefSeq lists it as uncharacterized. The transcript is spliced from 4 exons. Lineage: Eukaryota; Metazoa; Chordata; Actinopteri; Perciformes; Percidae. The record is from RefSeq and is a predicted model, not a curated record.
UGCCACUCCACUCAGCCACAAUACGUAAGUAUACUAUUAUGAAUAGCCUAAAUUAUUAGAUUGUGGUUUAACUUGUUAAUGCUGGUUGAAAUAACCUAAAUUGACCGUGUUUCAGUCUAGUGCAGGCCCUCAGUAAAGUUAACUCAUAGCUAGCGUUAGCUAACAUUAGCUGGAGACUUUUCAGAAGGAAGCAAACCCAGGCGAAGCAGUUUAAUGCUAAAGUUAAGGAAAGUAUAGUGGGUGUAAUGUUAGCGUUAACGGUUUACUCUUUUAUAUUUAUUUCAUUUUGAACUAAGCGUAGUAGUUAACUUCAAAGUCUGUGUUGUAACGUCAAUGUUACCGUCACGCAGGCAUGCAGCAGCACUGUGGCUACAGGACGGUCGGGCGCCACGGAGUCAGGUCUUUGCCUAGCUACAGGGAGGAAACAUCCUGAACAGAGCGCCAUCGCUGCACAGUGAUCAACAACAUACAUGGCUGAAGACGAUUUUCAGGUGAAUUGCUGACAGCAACCGUUUGGAUGCUGAGCAUCGAGGGUCCGGUGGAUGGGCCUCCACAUCCCAACUUCGUGGCUGGGAUGGCAACUUUGUUUUCGAGCUACUACAUCUUUAAUAUGGUGUACCAGGAGCAAGCAUCUUGCACACUGGAAUUCAUUCAAAGAUGCUUCAUCGGACUGAACCCUUCAAGUGGAACCAAGUCAACAACGGCGUUGAUCCAAAAAAGUGGGAACAUACAGGAGAAAAGAGGAACUGCAUUAACCCUUGCGUCUCCUCCCUACUCGACAGGAGGUAGGGGGAGAGGGAGACGUCAAAAAAUGACAAAAAGUAACACAGAUGGUUCCUCGAAAUGCUCUCCAAGAUUCAGUUCACUAGUUAAACAUGGAGCACACCAAACAGACUUGAGUCACCGACCUCGCCGGACUGUCCGACGGUCGAUUAUCGGGUUGGUUGUAUCAUGGUCAUAAUGAGCU